GAGAAAUCGAAGUCCGAAUUCGAAGAAACGAAACCCUCGUUAGUUCGCCUCGCCGCAAGCUCACUGUGGCCCUUGUUGCUUCCGAUCCAAAAAUGAUUGAAAACAAACCUCGUCUCUUCGCACCCGAUCAAAACCUUCGCUCUUUUCGCUCGCGCCUCGUCGCUUCCGUCGAAAUGAAAACCCCUCUGCCUUAGCCGAACGAAAACCCUCCGCUUCCGAUCCGGUCUUGCCUUAGUCCCCUCGUCAAGAAUCCGGCCACGCUCACGCUUCCGACUCGGUCUCCCUCAGUCCCCUCGCUUCCAGUUCGGUAUUAACUCACGCUUUCGCUUUCGGUACAUUUUUUUGGUACUUUUACUUAUCUAUGUAAUUUUGGGGGUUUAUUUGGGAUUUGUAAUCCUAUUGGCUAUUUUCUUCUGUUUUUCUAGACAUUUGCACAUAUUAUUGUGUUGUCUACAAAAUGUUGAUAGUUUUUGAACGAAAAUUAUUAGAGGUUUCAUUUGUUUUGCUGUCCAAAUUUUUUUUGUUCCAUUCAACCGUGAUUGAUUAAUAAAUUAUUUUUUGUUCCAUUCAAACGUGAUUGUUGUCCAAGUUUUUUUUUUUUUUUUUGUGUCAUUCAAUUGUUCCAUUCAAAUUCAAUUGUAAAUUAUUAGAGCUUUCAUUUGAAUCGUAAAGCGCUAUUCCAUUCAACCGUGAUUGAUUAAUAAAUUAAUUUUUGUUAUAUUCAAACGUGAUUGUUGUCCAAGUUUUUUUUUGUGCCAUUCUAACGCAGAUUUAUUAAUAAAUUAAUUUUUGUUCGAUCUCGCAGUGUCUUGAGAACAGUUAAGUUGAUUCUUUAAAGUCAUCACAACGGACACGAAAUCAAACACUGCUGAAUCACCAUUUUCAAACUUCCCCCGUCCAUCAUCUUCCGUCCUUUUGAAAUAAGGAAUUGGAUUUGGAGCAUAAUGAUGAUUUUAAUGAAUGAGAAGUGAAAAGACCAAAGAUAAAGAAGAAAGCUCACUCAAGUCAUUCGUCAUGCCUUAUGAUGCAUUGGUGCUCUUGAAUGUUAUUAUUGAACUUGGAGCUUUUGAAUGUUAUUAUUGAACUUGGAAUUUUAUGUAAUAGGCCACUAGUCAUUAUUAAACUUGGACUUUUUGUUUCUAUUUUGAAUGUAGACUUGAAUAUUUUGAGUAGAGACUUUGAACUCGAAUAUUUGAAUUGAAUUAUUUGAGGAAGUUUCUUUUGAAGUUUAUAUUGAA
This is a non-coding RNA of Benincasa hispida (wax gourd), 1238 nucleotides long. The record is from RefSeq and is a predicted model, not a curated record. Lineage: Eukaryota; Viridiplantae; Streptophyta; Magnoliopsida; Cucurbitales; Cucurbitaceae.